GAGACGUAGGGGCAUGACGAGGGGGGAAUAGGUAGGGUGGGAGGGUGAACCGGAAUGACGGGGCGUAAAGCGUGCGCAGGCGGUGUUGUAAGACAGGUGUGAAAGCCCCGGGCGUAACCUGGGAACUGCGCGUGUGACUGCAAGACUCGAGUACGGCAGAGGGGGGUGGAAUUCCACGUGUAGCAGUGAAAUGCGUAGAGAUGUGGAGGAACACCGAUGGCGAAGGCAGCCCCCUGGGUCGAUACUGACGCUCAUGCACGAAAGCGUGGGGAGCAAACAGGAUUAGAUACCCGAGUAGUC
Molecule: ribosomal RNA, 300 nt
Filed under: uncultured Thermodesulfobacterium sp.
Lineage: Bacteria; Pseudomonadati; Thermodesulfobacteriota; Thermodesulfobacteria; Thermodesulfobacteriales; Thermodesulfobacteriaceae
Description: bacterial SSU rRNA
Rfam family: Bacterial small subunit ribosomal RNA (bases 52-300)
Source: RNAcentral